UACGUAGGGUGCGAGCGUUGUCCGGAAUUAUUGGGCGUAAAGAGCUCGUAGGCGGUGUGUCACGUCGAUCGUGAAAACUUGGGGCUUAACCCUGAGCUUGCGGUCGAUACGGGCAUCACUGGAGUUCGGCAGGGGAGACUGGAAUUCCUGGUGUAGCGGUGAAAUGCGCAGAUAUCAGGAGGAACACCGGUGGCGAAGGCGGGUCCCUGGGCCGAUACUGACGCUGAGGAGCGAAAGCGUGGGGAGCGAACAGG
This 254-nucleotide ribosomal RNA is filed under the name uncultured bacterium. RNAcentral describes it as "partial 16S ribosomal RNA". It matches the Rfam family "Bacterial small subunit ribosomal RNA", at positions 524 to 776 of the family's 1533-position model. The record is from RNAcentral.